RNAcentral lists this ribosomal RNA (478 nucleotides) under uncultured Streptococcus sp. Its description in RNAcentral is "bacterial SSU rRNA". It matches the Rfam family "Bacterial small subunit ribosomal RNA", at positions 902 to 1382 of the family's 1533-position model. Lineage: Bacteria; Bacillati; Bacillota; Bacilli; Lactobacillales; Streptococcaceae. The record is from RNAcentral.
CAAAUGAAUUGACGGGGGCCCGCACAAGCAGUGGAGUAUGUGGUUUAAUUCGAAGCAACGCGAAGAACCUUACCAGGGCUUGACAUCCCUUGAAUCGGGAGGAAACUUCCGAGUCCCUCGGGACAAGGAGACAGGUGGUGCAUGGUUGUCGUCAGCUCGUGUCGUGAGAUGUUGGGUUAAGUCCCGCAACGAGCGCAACCCUUGCUGUUAGUUGCCAGCGCGUAAAGGCGGGCACUCUAAUGGGACUGCCGGCGACAAGUCGGAGGAAGUGGGGGCGACGUCAAAUCAUCAUGCCCCUUAUGACCUGGGCUACACACGUGCUACAAUGGUUGGUAUAACGAGUUGCGAGUCGGUGACGGCGAGCUAAUCUCUUAAAGCCAAUCUCAGUUCGGAUUGUAGGCUGCAACUCGCCUACAUGAAGUCGGAAUCGCUAGUAAUCGCGGAUCAGCACGCCGCGGUGAAUACGUUCCCGGGCCUU